Long non-coding RNA from Lolium rigidum, 443 nucleotides. RefSeq lists it as uncharacterized. The transcript has 2 exons. NCBI's taxonomy places the organism in Eukaryota, Viridiplantae, Streptophyta, Magnoliopsida, Poales, Poaceae. The record is from RefSeq and is a predicted model, not a curated record.
GCAGCGUCGCCGCAGGCGCGCUCCCGCCAUCACCCGCUUGCCGCUUCCACGUUUGACCUAGGCGGUCGCGCGCUCAUCGACCACGCCGCAGCCUCUCCGCGUCCUGAUCCGGGAAACCUCAGUGAAGCUAAAUUGGAGCAGAUUGGUAACAUGAGAACUUCCAGCUGAAGCAGAAGUGUUGCCAACUUGAAUGUAUUAUAAAGAAGAUAGCUGAAGAAAGGAGAAGAAGUGAGCGGCUGCACACUUGAGAUGAGAUGGAGGAACAAGAAAGAAUUAGGCAUAGUUAUAGCAAUUAUCUGUACAAUGUAGUAAGUGAUAAUUGCCUUGGCAACAAGGCAAUUUUUCUGAUAUUUUGAUGAGUAAUGUUUCAGUGUAAUGUAUCAAUACAAUGUUGUAAGGUGAUGUUUCUCCCUGGAAAUGAAAUAACAAAUUUUUUUGUGCAA